RNAcentral lists this long non-coding RNA (1142 nucleotides) under Homo sapiens (human). RNAcentral describes it as "non-protein coding lnc-TEX51-2:2". The record is from RNAcentral. Lineage: Eukaryota; Metazoa; Chordata; Mammalia; Primates; Hominidae.
AGUAAGGGAAAGCCGCCGGAGCUGGAGACAGGCUGGAAAGAGCAGGUAACAGCCCACAAGGAGCGGGGGCCCUGGCUGUCAGACUCAACUUGCAGGACCAUCAAGUGCAGGUGUGGUUCAAGAACCGGGGCCGCUUGCUCUGCGGUAGCAACGGCACAUAACCGCAGCGAUGACCAGGGCAGCCAAGCCAGCAGCCGGGACCCCGGGAUGCUCUUGGCACAUGAUCCGACUCCCCUGCCUUUGCGGGUCCUGUACUCCCGCGAGGUCCAGGAUUGUGCAGCCCCUCCCCAACCGGCCGUUGGGAAUCUUCGCAGCAGCAGAACCCGCUGCCUCCAGGUCCGACCAGACCUGCAUAGGUAGAGAGUCCCCGCACAGGGCGGCCAGCAGAGCUACCCAGCUGCCCCAGGGCCUCGGGACCCCUGGGCCUGGGACCCAGGCCAGACCCUGACUCAUUCGGUGAUCUCACAGGACUCCUCCCACCCCAAGACCCUUUCAGGGACCCUGCCUCGAACUCCACGACAUGGGAGGCAGGGGCGGGCCUUUUGCAGGGGAAGGACUCCCCCAGCAGGACGUUUACUGAAUCUGGAGGGAGUCGCCCUGCAGAUAUCCCGCGGAAGCCGGAGGAGACCCAGGUGCGCCCCACCGGCUAGCUGCGCCUGCGGGUGCCCAAAUUGGUGUCCGGGCCAUCCUCACCGCAGUGACUCCUCCGCAGCGCCAACGCACUCCAUUUUCCUUCCACCCUGCCGGUGGGGGGCGUUUGCUUGUUCUCACUCUGCAGCCGCAGCCAGUGGCGCCGCUACCAAGGUCCCCGCCUCGCCAUCCGGGUCCUGCCUGAGCAUCCUUAUUGGUGCUCAGGGCUAGGCGUGCAUUGCUGCUAGGGGCGCGGAAAGGUUUAUCGUGGGUGGAUGCUGCCCGGGGCUUGAGUGGUUUUUAGAGGUCUUGAGUGGCUCACUCUCCAAUCAGCGCUUUCUAGAGACAGCGUGGUCAGCGUACUUGCUUACUUUCAGGAUUGCGAGACGUCUUUAACCCUUGCUGAUCGGCUGACGCUGCAGCUUCCUGUGGCUUCCUGCUCAUUUCCCGCAAGAUAGCACUGAUAGGCAAUUCCAUUUUGGAAAAUUUAUCCUGAGGAAAUAAAUAAAGAU